GUGCUUGCUUCAGCAGCACAUAUACUAAAAUUGUAAUAAUACAGAGCAGAUUAGAAUGGCCCCUGUGCAAGGAUGGCAUGCAAAUUCAUGAUACGUUCCAUAUUUUU
Pteronotus mesoamericanus is the source of this 107-nucleotide small nuclear RNA. NCBI's taxonomy places the organism in Eukaryota, Metazoa, Chordata, Mammalia, Chiroptera, Mormoopidae. The record is from RefSeq and is a predicted model, not a curated record.